RNAcentral lists this long non-coding RNA (226 nucleotides) under Olea europaea subsp. europaea. The record is from RNAcentral. Lineage: Eukaryota; Viridiplantae; Streptophyta; Magnoliopsida; Lamiales; Oleaceae.
CGUAGUAAUAUAUGAAUAUUCACACGUUAUCCAUCGACUAUGCCUUUCGGCCUGAUCUUAAGCCGAGACCCACGCUCCGUGGACAAACCUUGCGGAGGAACCCUUAGGUUUUCAGUGUAUUGGAUUCUCACCAAUGUUUGCGUUAUUCAAGCCAACAUUCUUGCUUCUGUUUAACCACCACUACUCGCGCGAGUGCUUCCUUAUUAGAUGGAACACUCCCCCGUUG